Molecule: ribosomal RNA, 1423 nt
Filed under: Klebsiella sp. DB-2
Lineage: Bacteria; Pseudomonadati; Pseudomonadota; Gammaproteobacteria; Enterobacterales; Enterobacteriaceae
Description: bacterial SSU rRNA
Rfam family: Bacterial small subunit ribosomal RNA
Source: RNAcentral
GCCUAACACAUGCAAGUCGAGCGGUAGCACAGAGAGCUUGCUCUCGGGUGACGAGCGGCGGACGGGUGAGUAAUGUCUGGGAAACUGCCUGAUGGAGGGGGAUAACUACUGGAAACGGUAGCUAAUACCGCAUAACGUCGCAAGACCAAAGUGGGGGACCUUCGGGCCUCAUGCCAUCAGAUGUGCCCAGAUGGGAUUAGCUAGUAGGUGGGGUAACGGCUCACCUAGGCGACGAUCCCUAGCUGGUCUGAGAGGAUGACCAGCCACACUGGAACUGAGACACGGUCCAGACUCCUACGGGAGGCAGCAGUGGGGAAUAUUGCACAAUGGGCGCAAGCCUGAUGCAGCCAUGCCGCGUGUGUGAAGAAGGCCUUCGGGUUGUAAAGCACUUUCAGCGGGGAGGAAGGCGUUAAGGUUAAUAACCUUGGCGAUUGACGUUACCCGCAGAAGAAGCACCGGCUAACUCCGUGCCAGCAGCCGCGGUAAUACGGAGGGUGCAAGCGUUAAUCGGAAUUACUGGGCGUAAAGCGCACGCAGGCGGUCUGUCAAGUCGGAUGUGAAAUCCCCGGGCUCAACCUGGGAACUGCAUUCGAAACUGGCAGGCUAGAGUCUUGUAGAGGGGGGUAGAAUUCCAGGUGUAGCGGUGAAAUGCGUAGAGAUCUGGAGGAAUACCGGUGGCGAAGGCGGCCCCCUGGACAAAGACUGACGCUCAGGUGCGAAAGCGUGGGGAGCAAACAGGAUUAGAUACCCUGGUAGUCCACGCUGUAAACGAUGUCGAUUUGGAGGUUGUGCCCUUGAGGCGUGGCUUCCGGAGCUAACGCGUUAAAUCGACCGCCUGGGGAGUACGGCCGCAAGGUUAAAACUCAAAUGAAUUGACGGGGGCCCGCACAAGCGGUGGAGCAUGUGGUUUAAUUCGAUGCAACGCGAAGAACCUUACCUGGUCUUGACAUCCACAGAACUUAGCAGAGAUGCUUUGGUGCCUUCGGGAACUGUGAGACAGGUGCUGCAUGGCUGUCGUCAGCUCGUGUUGUGAAAUGUUGGGUUAAGUCCCGCAACGAGCGCAACCCUUAUCCUUUGUUGCCAGCGGUUAGGCCGGGAACUCAAAGGAGACUGCCAGUGAUAAACUGGAGGAAGGUGGGGAUGACGUCAAGUCAUCAUGGCCCUUACGACCAGGGCUACACACGUGCUACAAUGGCAUAUACAAAGAGAAGCGACCUCGCGAGAGCAAGCGGACCUCAUAAAGUAUGUCGUAGUCCGGAUUGGAGUCUGCAACUCGACUCCAUGAAGUCGGAAUCGCUAGUAAUCGUAGAUCAGAAUGCUACGGUGAAUACGUUCCCGGGCCUUGUACACACCGCCCGUCACACCAUGGGAGUGGGUUGCAAAAGAAGUAGGUAGCUUAACCUUCGGGAGGGCGCUUACCACU